RNAcentral lists this ribosomal RNA (397 nucleotides) under uncultured bacterium. RNAcentral's name for it is "bacterial SSU rRNA". It matches the Rfam family "Bacterial small subunit ribosomal RNA", at positions 358 to 772 of the family's 1533-position model. The record is from RNAcentral.
GGAAUAUUGGACAAUGGGCGAAAGCCUGAUCCAGCAAUGCCGCGUGAGUGAUGAAGGCCUUAGGGUUGUAAAGCUCUUUUACCCGGGAUGAUAAUGACAGUACCGGGAGAAGAAGCCCCGGCUAAUUCCGUGCCAGCAGCCGCGGUAAUACGGAAGGGGCUAGCGUUGUUCGGAAUCACUGGGCGUAAAGCGCGCGUAGGCGGUCGGUCAAGUGCGGCGUGAAAGUCCUGGGCUCAACCCGGGGACGGCGCUGCGGACUGUCCGGCUGGAGUCCGGAAGAGGGUGGUGGAAUUCCGAGUGUAGAGGUGAAAUUCGUAGAUAUUCGGAGGAACACCGGUGGCGAAGGCGGCCACCUGGUCCGGUACUGACGCUCAAGCGCGAAAGCGUGGGGAGCAAA